CAUCUUUUCUUGUAAAUUGUAUGAAAUCUAACCUGCCCUAUGAUUUAUUAAAUGGCCGCGGUAUUUUAACCGUGCGAAGGUAGCAUAAUCAUUAGUCCAUUAAUUGUGGACUUGUAUGAAUGGUUGGACGAAAUAUAUUCUGUCUCAUUUUGUUGUUUAUAAUUUGAUUUUUGAGUUAGAAAGCUUAAAUUUUUUUAAGGGACGAGAAGACCCUAUAGAUCUUUAUUAUUUGUUUGUUAAUUAUGUUUUUGGUUUAUUAUUCAUUUUGAUUAAUUUAUUUAUUUUGUUGGGGUGAUGUGGGGAUAUAAUUUAAACUCUUCAUUUUUGUUUUCAUUGAUUUAUGUUUAUUUGACCUUUUAAUAUUGUUUAAAGAACUAGAUACCUUAGGGAUAACAGCGUUAUUUUUCUUGAGAGUUCAUAUCGACAGAUAAGAUUGCGACCUCGAUGUUGGAUUAAGAUUGAUUAUUAGGUGUAGUUGCUUAAUUAUUAAGGUCUGUUCGACCUUUAAAUUCUUACAUGAUCUGAGUUCAAACCGGAG
RNAcentral lists this ribosomal RNA (538 nucleotides) under Trachyaretaon echinatus. RNAcentral's name for it is "partial large subunit ribosomal RNA". It matches the Rfam family "Bacterial large subunit ribosomal RNA", at positions 1826 to 2621 of the family's 2925-position model. The record is from RNAcentral. Lineage: Eukaryota; Metazoa; Arthropoda; Insecta; Phasmatodea; Heteropterygidae.